CCCUUAUUUUGAAAGUGCAGAUAAUAGCACCAGCAAUUUACUGGGCCACAAGUUUGAGUAUCAGAGUUCACCACGAAAUGUGAAUAUAAAAAUAUCAGCACAAUGUGAAGAUAAAAAUAUCAGCACAUAAACCUAAAGAGCAGGUGGUCUAAAUGACCAAAGCCUAUGCCAAGAGGGUUUGAUUCAUUCUUUCGGAGGAGCUGACACCUUGGAAGUGUAAACAGCUGGAUGGCUCAGGAGAGUCAAGUCAGCCGAAUUGCUCUGCUCUAUCAGUGCUGUUGCAGAUUUUUGUUGUCACAACCGGCAGACAGACUUUCCCAGGAGGCUCAGGUAUAUAAAGGCGUGAAGCACCUGAAAACUGUCAGCCAUUUUUAUCAUCUCCACCGUCAUUGUCGUGAGGAGCGAGGGGAAAGAGCUGGAAGUGGAUUUGCCCUCCAUUCGGCAGGGUAUUCCACGUAUUGUGGAACCCGGUGCUUGCAGCAGCCUUGCCGCAGGGGAGCACAGUAGAUAAAUUGCUGAGUUCUUAUGGCGUGCCACUCAUACUGCAAUGAAUGAAAGGGAUUUAUAAACGAAUAACUGAGCUAUCACAAUGUGAGUGAUAUAACAAAUAUAUAUGUCCCAAGUGCUAUGGGGGCUCAGGAGGGAC
This 646-nucleotide long non-coding RNA is filed under the name Macaca mulatta (Rhesus monkey). Its description in RNAcentral is "lncRNA (ENSMMUG00000054452.1)". Lineage: Eukaryota; Metazoa; Chordata; Mammalia; Primates; Cercopithecidae. The record is from RNAcentral.